GUUUGCAGCGGGGAGUGACUGAUGGGUGACAGGGCUGAAAUCAUCCUUAAGUUGGAGGAAGAGAGAGGGCACGCUGGCCCAUUGUGCAAAGGGAGGUGAACUCACAUGGGAGUUGGUGGAGGAGAAAGCUGGGAGGAACCGUCCUGCCUGCGGUCCAGAGGUGCAAGGAGAGAAGCCAGCCCAGCACAGUGGACUGACCCC
RNAcentral lists this long non-coding RNA (201 nucleotides) under Pan troglodytes (chimpanzee). RNAcentral's name for it is "long non-coding RNA NONPTRT016987". Lineage: Eukaryota; Metazoa; Chordata; Mammalia; Primates; Hominidae. The record is from RNAcentral.